CAUACCACAGGAUCAAUUGAAUCGGCAAGGUCAUCGAAAUUUGUAGCACGACCUUGGGCAAUCAAAAUGCGACGGUCUUCCUGGUAGAGACGCUCAUCAUCCUACGAUGGAUUCAACCGUGCCAAUGCUCUAGCAAGUCUAUUGUGCUUCCGUAAGAAAAAAUAAUUUGAGUGGUGGCCAUAUUGGGGUCACAUCGGGACCCUUAUAAUGAAGGGACCAGAUGGACUGCUAACAAACCUCAAAACUCUGACGCGUCAAGUGUAUGGCAGGCAACAGUUUCAGUGUCUUGAUGCAUAGCUGUCCGCCGAUCCUCCAGCUCCUCAUCGUUGCAGUUACUUCAAACAUAGCUAUUGCUUAUCUAGAAUAAGGACCUACGAGAAUUCCGAAGGAACUGAUGAGUACACAACGAAUUCUUCGAGUGGAAGGG
Long non-coding RNA from Daphnia magna, 427 nucleotides. RefSeq lists it as uncharacterized. NCBI's taxonomy places the organism in Eukaryota, Metazoa, Arthropoda, Branchiopoda, Diplostraca, Daphniidae. The transcript has 3 exons. The record is from RefSeq and is a predicted model, not a curated record.